Molecule: ribosomal RNA, 447 nt
Filed under: uncultured bacterium
Lineage: Bacteria
Description: partial 16S ribosomal RNA
Rfam family: Bacterial small subunit ribosomal RNA
Source: RNAcentral
CCCAGACUCCUACGGGAGGCAGCAGUGGGGAAUAUUGCACAAUGGGGGGAACCCUGAUGCAGCGACGCCGCGUGGGUGAAGGAGUAUUUCGGUAUGUAAAGCCCUCUCAGCAGGGAAGAACAAUGACGGUACCUGACUAAGAAGCACCGGCUAAAUACGUGCCAGCAGCCGCGGUAAUACGUAUGGUGCAAGCGUUAUCCGGAUUUACUGGGUGUAAAGGGGGCGCAGACGGCAGCGCAAGCCAGGAGUGAAAGCCCGGGGGCCAACCCCGGGACUGCUAUUGGAACUGCGCGGCUGGAGUGCAGGAGGGGGAGGCGGAAUUCCUGGUGGAGCGGUGAAAUGCGUAGAUAUCAGGAGGAACACCGGUGGCGAAGGCGGCCUGCUGGACUGCGACUGACGUUGAGGCCCGAAAGCGUGGGGAGCAAACAGGAUUAGAUACCCUUGUAC